ACGCUCGACACCUACGGGGGCAGCAGUGGGGAAUAUUGCACAAUGGGGGAAACCCUGAUGCAGCGACGCCGCGUGAGUGAAGAAGUAUUUCGGUAUGUAAAGCUCUAUCAGCAGGGAAGAAACUGACGGUACCUGACUAAGAAGCACCGGCUAAAUACGUGCCAGCAGCCGCGGUAAUCUGAGCGGGCUGGCAAGGC
This 197-nucleotide ribosomal RNA is filed under the name uncultured bacterium. Its description in RNAcentral is "partial 16S ribosomal RNA". It matches the Rfam family "Bacterial small subunit ribosomal RNA", at positions 328 to 539 of the family's 1533-position model. The record is from RNAcentral.